UAUUAAAAAUUUCAUCUAUUUAUACUAUUAAAAACGAGUGUGAGUAACAGAAUAACCAAACAGUGACACAUGAUGUGCCACAUGUACUUCAUAUUGAUAUAUAAGGACCAAUUUUUAACAGUAAAAAUGGAUAAAAUUUUAACA
Gossypium arboreum is the source of this 144-nucleotide non-coding RNA. Lineage: Eukaryota; Viridiplantae; Streptophyta; Magnoliopsida; Malvales; Malvaceae. The record is from Rfam.